GCCAAUAGGGCUGCUUAAGCAGGCUACUUUGAUAUAGUAGAUUGAGGACAUUUGUUUCGUUGGUA
Molecule: transfer RNA, 65 nt
Filed under: Bothridium pithonis
Lineage: Eukaryota; Metazoa; Platyhelminthes; Cestoda; Diphyllobothriidea; Diphyllobothriidae
Description: tRNA-Ile
Source: RNAcentral